RNAcentral lists this unclassified non-coding RNA (18 nucleotides) under Chlamydomonas reinhardtii. Its description in RNAcentral is "small RNA Cre_0325". Lineage: Eukaryota; Viridiplantae; Chlorophyta; Chlorophyceae; Chlamydomonadales; Chlamydomonadaceae. The record is from RNAcentral.
ACGGACUGCAGCAGAUUC